GACGAACGCUGGCGGUGUGCUUAACACAUGCAAGUCGAACGGUAAGGCCCUUUCGGGGGUACACGAGUGGCGAACGGGUGAGUAACACGUGAGUAACCUGCCCUCAUCUCUGGGAUAACAGUCGGAAACGGUUGCUAAUACUGGAUAUGAGCUUGCAAGGCAUCUUGUGGGUUGGAAAGAUUUUUUUGGUUGGGGAUGGACUCGCGGCCUAUCAGCUUGUUGGUGAGGUAGUGGCUCACCAAGGCUUCGACGGGUAGCCGGCCGAGAGGGCGACCGGCCACAUUGGGACUGAGAUACGGCCCAAACUCCUACGGGAGGCAGCAGUGGGGAAUAUUGCACAAUGGACGGAAGUCUGAUGCAGCAACGCCGCGUGCGGGAUGACGGCCUUCGGGUUGUAAACCGCUUUCAAUUGUGACGAAGCUUUUUGUGACGGUAGCAGUAGAAGAAGCACCGGCUAACUACGUG
RNAcentral lists this ribosomal RNA (465 nucleotides) under uncultured bacterium. RNAcentral's name for it is "partial 16S ribosomal RNA". It matches the Rfam family "Bacterial small subunit ribosomal RNA", at positions 28 to 507 of the family's 1533-position model. The record is from RNAcentral.